CCUACGGGGGGCAGCAGUGGGGAAUAUUGCACAAUGGGCGCAAGCCUGAUGCAGCCAUGCCGCGUGUGUGAAGAAGGCCUUCGGGUUGUAAAGCACUUUCAGCGGGGAGGAAGGCGUUAAGGUUAAUAACCUUGUCGAUUGACGUUACCCGCAGAAGAAGCACCGGCUAACUCCGUGCCAGCAGCCGCGGUAAUACGGAGGGUGCAAGCGUUAAUCGGAAUUACUGGGCGUAAAGCGCACGCAGGCGGUCUGUCAAGUCGGAUGUGAAAUCCCCGGGCUCAACCUGGGAACUGCAUUCGAAACUGGCAGGCUAGAGUCUUGUAGAGGGGGGUAGAAUUCCAGGUGUGGCGGUGAAAUGCGUAGAGAUCUGGAGGAAUACCGGUGGCGAAGGCGGCCCCCUGGACAAAGACUGACGCUCAGGUGCGAAAGCGUGGGGAGCAAACAGGAUUAGAUACCCCUGUAGUC
This 465-nucleotide ribosomal RNA is filed under the name uncultured Klebsiella sp. RNAcentral's name for it is "bacterial SSU rRNA". It matches the Rfam family "Bacterial small subunit ribosomal RNA", at positions 338 to 795 of the family's 1533-position model. Lineage: Bacteria; Pseudomonadati; Pseudomonadota; Gammaproteobacteria; Enterobacterales; Enterobacteriaceae. The record is from RNAcentral.